Molecule: ribosomal RNA, 303 nt
Filed under: uncultured bacterium
Lineage: Bacteria
Description: bacterial SSU rRNA
Rfam family: Bacterial small subunit ribosomal RNA
Source: RNAcentral
UGGGGAAUAUUGGGCAAUGGACGCAAGUCUGACCCAGCAACGCCGCGUGAAGGAAGAAGGCUUUCGGGUUGUAAACUUCUUUUAAGGGGGAAGAGCAGAAGACGGUACCCCUUGAAUAAGCCACGGCUAACUACGUGCCAGCAGCCGCGGUAAUACGUAGGUGGCAAGCGUUGUCCGGAUUUACUGGGUGUAAAGGGCGUGCAGCCGGGAAGACAAGUCAGAUGUGAAAUCCCGCGGCUCAACCGCGGAACUGCAUUUGAAACUGUUUUUCUUGAGUAUCGGAGAGGUAAUCGGAAUUCCUAG